GAUACAUUGAAUAGGGGGGUUACCUCACAAACCUGUAUUUCCCCGCCUCUGGUUUCUUAGCAGGAUGGGAGAGUUGAGAGGACCUGCAGGGACUUCUUGAGCCCUGCCUAGGAUGCGGGCCUGAUUCCAGCCCUCGGGCUCCAGGAGCUGUUUCUCGUCUUCCAUGCCUUUCUGCCAUGCUGCCCUGCCUUGGAGCCAGACGACUAUGAACUUAAGCCUCUACAAACUCUUCCUGUCUCACAGUGGAAUCUCCUGUUCCUGCACACUAUUGCUAUUGUGAUGCCAUCCAUCCUGUGGGCCUUGCCAGGGCAAGCUGAAGACAGUGCCAUGACCUUGAAACUCCAGAUUGAAAAAAGAUGAUUCUCUAUAAUGCUUACACCAGGAGGAUAUUAUUCUACAAAUAAGGGCCCAGCAUGACAUUUAUGAGAAAGCCAGGGUCCUCCCCCACAAAGCUGAUUGGUGCUCUACCAAUAGACUCAAGAACACUGCCAAUAAAGGCACCUAUUGCUCUGGG
RNAcentral lists this long non-coding RNA (514 nucleotides) under Heterocephalus glaber (naked mole-rat). RNAcentral describes it as "lncRNA (ENSHGLG00000039760.1)". Lineage: Eukaryota; Metazoa; Chordata; Mammalia; Rodentia; Bathyergidae. The record is from RNAcentral.